RNAcentral lists this ribosomal RNA (490 nucleotides) under uncultured bacterium. Its description in RNAcentral is "partial 16S ribosomal RNA". It matches the Rfam family "Bacterial small subunit ribosomal RNA", at positions 29 to 507 of the family's 1533-position model. The record is from RNAcentral.
AGUGAACGCUGGCGGCAGGCCUAACACAUGCAAGUCGAACGGCAGCACAAGAGAGCUUGCUCUCUGGGUGGCGAGUGGCGGACGGGUGAGGAAUGCAUCGGAAUCUGCCCAUUUGUGGGGGAUAACCUCGGGAAACCGGGACUAAUACCGCAUACGACCUACGGGUGAAAGCAGGGGAUCUUCGGACCUUGCGCAGAUGGAUGAGCCGAUGCCGUAUUAGCUAGUUGGAGGGGUAAAGGCCCACCAAGGCGACGAUCCGUAGCUGGUCUGAGAGGAUGAUCAGCCACACUGGGACUGAGACACGGACCAGACUCCUACGGGAGGCAGCAGUGGGGAAUAUUGGACAAUGGGCGCAAGCCUGAUCCAGCCAUGCCGCGUGUGUGAAGAAGGCCUUCGGGUUGUAAAGCACUUUUGUUGGGAAAGAAAAGCAGCCGGUUAAUACCCGGUUGUCAUGACGGUACCCAAAGAAUAAGCACCGGCUAACUUCGUG